This is an RNA transcript of Scylla paramamosain (green mud crab), 2154 nucleotides long. RefSeq lists it as uncharacterized. The record is from RefSeq and is a predicted model, not a curated record. The transcript has 2 exons. Lineage: Eukaryota; Metazoa; Arthropoda; Malacostraca; Decapoda; Portunidae.
UCAUACUACGUUUCUUUUUCCUUCCCUCUUCUGCUCAUGUUAUUUUUUGUCUCUAUCCUCGUCAUCCUCUUCUUUUUUUAUAACCCGUUUCUUCUUCUUCCUCCUCCUUCUCUUGUUUCUUGUCUCUAUCCACGUCUUUCUUAUUACUCAUUCUUCUUUUACGAUUAUUGCGUUUUCCAGUUUCUCGCUCUUAACACCACCACCAUUACCACAACAAUCACCAUUAACACCUCCUCCUCCUCCUCCUCCUUCGCCUUUUGUUAUCCUGCGUCUCUGGAUCAGGUAGUGUAGUUUUUCAUAUACAAACAACUCCUUGAGGAUCAACGUAUGUACAUAUGCUUGCUCUUCCUUAGUAUUCCUUUGUGCUUCUCUUCCUCUUCCGCAACCAGGUCAAAGAAAAUGGGUAUACAUGUGAAUUAUCAAGAGGCAAGAGCGUGUAACUUCCUUUAACUUCCUUCCUGUCUUCACAUAUUCUGUAUUUUUUCUUCCUACUCCUCCUCUUUGUUCUCCCUUUCUCCUUAUUCUCUUAUUAAUUUGUAACCCUUAACUAACUAAAGGAGAUAGACAGCAGUGAUAUAAAAGGUUUAGAAGAAUGAAGACUAGUUUGGGUGAAAGGAUGAAAUACAGUAGUAGAGAUGAAAGAUGUCAGGCUGUACAGUCCUUCUCUUCAUUUCAUCUUAACUUGACUCUUCAUCUCUUCCUUCAGUGCCACAUUCAAUAUCUUCCACAUCUCGUACCCUUCCCUUUUCCUUCUUUUUCCUUACACCCUCCUUCACUCUUAAUCUCCUCUUCUCCCCUCCAUCUUAUCCUAACCCCCCCCUCUCUCUCUCUGCUCCUCAUCCAUCACCACUACCACACCACUGAGAUAAAAGUUUCCCCCUAACCGAGGAUAAGACGUGACGGGAACACUGAACAGCGACUCAACAUUGGCAACAUCCGUGCCGACACUCCACUCCACCGAUGGACGCGAAGGAAGAAGGGUCAAACGAGAUUGUAUAUAGAGACUGACUGUAUACCGGCAGCAAAGAUCAUGGCGCAUGAUUUGUGAGCAGAGAACUGUGGGAUUAUCUGGCAAGCAGUGGGAUAGUCUGCAGUAGGACUACAAGUUACAACGCUCAGAGCAACGGACAAGUCGAGCGCUACAAUGGUAUCAUCUGGAAGGCAGUAACAACUCUGCGGUCACGUGGCUGCCAGAACGGUGCUGGCAAAGUGUCCUGCCGGACGCUCUUCACUCGAUCCGUUCGUUGUUAUGCACAGCUACCAACGCCACUCCCCAUGAGCGUUUAUUCAACUACACACGUCGAUCAUCGUCAGGGACCGCCAUACCUGCCUGGUUGUGUAACCCAGGUCCUGUCCUGCUGAGGCGAUAUGUGCGGGCACGCAAGAGCGAUCCACUGGUGGAUGAGGUGGAAUUAAUUCAGGCUAACCCGCAGUAUGCUCAUGUUCGAUACCCCGACAGGAGAGAAGACAGUGGGGGGUGACUCUGACCUCCAAGUCGGGAGGGCCACUCGGACGCUGCUGGAUGCAGACCCACUACAUGAGGAAGCGACAAAUAUUAGCAAUCGUGGGCCUGACUCUACUACUUAUGAGGGGGACUGCCAUAAGUCGGAAACGCCAACUUCGCCUCAUUCAUAAGGGACACCGGCCACUUCAUAACGUUCUGAAACCAGCGGCGAACCAACAGAGCUGAGACGAUUCAAUCGCAUAAGGCGACCACCUAUUCGUUUUGCACCAUCAUAGUAUAUGUUAUUUUGUACAAAAGGGGGUGAUUGUGGUAAAAGAUGAUCAAGGGAUGACUGUACUUAUCAUUUGUAAUGAGUUGUUAAUGAGUGCUUAACGAAGUUAUUUCACACCCUGGUGGGCUAUCGUGCGGCCACUUCCACCAAGUCAGCCACAAGUCAGCCAGGUGUGUAUGUAGGUGUGUGUGUUUGUUUCCUUUACAUUGUAUUGUACUAUUACGGGAUUCUAUGGUUGUUUAUGGUUGUAAAUCGAUUAAUUUACUUUGUUCCAGAGUACCUGUUUUUGUGUCUAAUGAAAGCCUACUGAAACGGUCAGGUGUGUGUGCAUGAUUCACAUCACAGUGUCUUUAUUGCUGUAUUGUAAAACACUGCUUCAUGCUUCUAUGUGUAUCCUUAAAUUGAAUUAAAUCGUUUU